UACGUAGGGUGCGAGCGUUAAUCGGAAUUACUGGGCGUAAAGCGUGCGCAGGCGGUUCGUUGUGUCGGCGGUGAAAGCCCCGGGCUUAACCUGGGAAUGGCCGUUGAAACUGGCGAACUGGAGUGUGGCAGAGGGGGGUGGAAUUCCGCGUGUAGCGGUGAAAUGCGCAGAUAUCAGGAGGAACACCGGUGGCGAAGGCGGGUCUCUGGGCCGAUAUUGACGCUGAUGGACGAAAGCGUGGGGAGCGAACAGG
This 253-nucleotide ribosomal RNA is filed under the name uncultured bacterium. RNAcentral describes it as "partial 16S ribosomal RNA". It matches the Rfam family "Bacterial small subunit ribosomal RNA", at positions 524 to 776 of the family's 1533-position model. The record is from RNAcentral.